Cornus florida is the source of this 1212-nucleotide long non-coding RNA. RefSeq lists it as uncharacterized. Lineage: Eukaryota; Viridiplantae; Streptophyta; Magnoliopsida; Cornales; Cornaceae. The record is from RefSeq and is a predicted model, not a curated record. The transcript has 4 exons.
GGGUCUUGGUGCAUUGAUUUAUGCUGGAACUGGAAUAGUGGAAGGAAGUAAUUUAUCUGGAGAGUGGCAGGAACUAGAACUAAAGACUUCUCAGGGUCUUGGUGCAUUGAUUUAUGCUGGAACUGGAAUAGUGGAAGGAAGUAAUUCAUCUGAAGAGUGGGAGGAAAUGGAACUAAAAACAUCUCAAGUUUAUAUACAUACCUGUGUAUGUUUUUUUUCCCCUUGUUUUGGGAAAUGAGGGGAAGGGGGUUUUUAUGGGGGGUUUAUAUGCAUACAAGCUUCUUUGUGUUGGAGACUUGGAGUGAAUCAAGGAUUGAUCAUUUCACAUAAUUCAAAAGUACAUUUGAGGAAUAAUAAUAGGAACUAAAGUCAUUUUGUUUUCUUUCUUCUUCUGUUUUUUUCUUUGUUCAAGAUUUUCAAGAUUUUCUUUGUUCUAAUUCUUAGAAUUUCAAGAUUUUCUUUGUUCUAAUCCAUAUAAUUUUAUAUUCACAUCAUUACCAAAUACUGGCUUUUUUUAUUCGCAGGGUCUUGGUGCAUUGAUUUAUGCUGGAACUGGAAUAGUAGAAGGAAGUAAUUCAUCUGGAGAGUGGGAGGAAUUGGAACUAAAGACAUCUCAGUUUACCAAAUUGAUGAAACUAGAGGUGCCUCUCUAUUGAUACUAAGAAACAGUGACUCGAGGACUACGAACUGUGAAGAUUAGAGGUAAAAAGACUCAGAACUACAUACUACAGUGGGGGUGAAAGCUUUUGACAAGCUUGGAGAUGGAAUGUCAUGAUUUUUGUUUGGUGAUAGGCUCGGAGAAUGAAAUAGCCUUCUUCAUUGAAGCCAGUGAAUGGUAUGUUUAAUACUUUGCUCAUGUGCUCAUAUGGUUUUUUUUUUUACUUGAUUUUUAUUAGUUUUAUCUUUUUAUAUAGAUUAGAGGUAAAAAGACUAGGAACUACAUACUACAGUGGAGGUGAAAGCUUUUGACAAGCUUGGAGAUGGAAUGUCAUGAUCUUUGUUUAGUGACAGUCUCGGAGAAUGAAAUAGCCAGUGACAAGCUUCCAGUUCCAGAGCAUGACCACUUUUCUUUUUUCUUGAAUGAAUGGGACUUUGUGGAUUUAAGUUAUAUAUAUAUAUAUAUGUUGGAUGAUUUGCUGAAACAAUUUGGGUUGAAAAGAUAUGUAACUGAUAUUAUAUUGUUUCUAUUUAUUUUGAUGCCUUAGAUAAACA